CACGAAAUAGGAAUAGAACUCUUCAUCAAAAUUAAUAUGUCGGAGAUUAUAAAGGUGGUUUAUACUCCUGCUUCACGAGGACGUGUAAUUUGUCA
Long non-coding RNA from Drosophila willistoni, 95 nucleotides. RefSeq lists it as uncharacterized. Lineage: Eukaryota; Metazoa; Arthropoda; Insecta; Diptera; Drosophilidae. The transcript has 2 exons. The record is from RefSeq and is a predicted model, not a curated record.